GCGCAGCAGUCGCGAAAACUUUACAAUGUGCGAAAGCACGAUAAGGGAACUCUGAGUGCCUCCUAAGGAGGCUGUUCUGAUGUCUAAAAAGCAACAGAAGUAAGGGCUGGGUAAGACCGGUGCCAGCCGCCGCGGUAACACCGGCAGCCCAAGUGGUAGCCACGUUUAUUGGGUCUAAAGCGUUCGUAGCCGGCCAGGUAAGUUCCUUGGUAAAUUUAGCCGCUUAACGGUUAAGCUUUCAGGGAAUACUGCUUGGCUUGGGACUGGGAGAGGUCAGAGGUACUCCGGGGGUAGGGUGAAAUCUAUUAAUCCCUGGGGGACCACCGGUAGCGAAGGCGUCUGACCAGGACCAGGUCCGACGGUGAGGGACGAAGGCUAGGGGCGCGAACCGGAUUAGAUA
RNAcentral lists this ribosomal RNA (400 nucleotides) under uncultured microorganism. Its description in RNAcentral is "bacterial SSU rRNA". It matches the Rfam family "Archaeal small subunit ribosomal RNA", at positions 330 to 735 of the family's 1478-position model. The record is from RNAcentral.